GAAGCUUGCUUCCUAUGGAAUCGAGUGGCAAACGGGUGAGUAACGCGUAAACAACCUGCCCUUCGGAUGGGGAUAACAGCCGGAAACGGCUGCUAAUACCGAAUACGAUCUUUUCGUCGCAUGACGAAAAGAAGAAAGGAUGGCCUCUAUACAAAGCUAUCGCCGAAGGAGGGGUUUGCGUCUGAUUAGCUGGUUGGAGGGGUAACGGCCCAACAAGGCGAUGAUCAGUAGCCGGUCUGAGAGGAUGAACGGCCACAUUGGGACUGAGACACGGCCCAGACUCCUACGGGAGGCAGCAGUGGGGAAUCUUCCGCAAUGGACGAAAGUCUGACGGAGCAACGCCGCGUGAGUGAAGAAGGUCUUCGGAUUGUAAAGCUCUGUUAUACGGGACGAAAAAGACGGAUGCCAACAGUAUCCGUCCGUGACGGUACCGUAAGAGAAAGCCACGGCUAACUACGUGCCAGCAGCCGCGGUAAUACGUAGGUGGCAAGCGUUGUCCGGAAUUAUUGGGCGUAAAGGGCGCGCAGGCGGUUCGGUAAGUCUGUCUUAAAAGUGCGGGGCUUAACCCCGUGAGGGGACGGAAACUGUCGAACUUGAGUGUCGGAGAGGAAAGCGGAAUUCCUAGUGUAGCGGUGAAAUGCGUAGAUAUUAGGAGGAACACCGGUGGCGAAAGCGGCUUUCUGGAC
Molecule: ribosomal RNA, 686 nt
Filed under: uncultured bacterium
Lineage: Bacteria
Description: bacterial SSU rRNA
Rfam family: Bacterial small subunit ribosomal RNA
Source: RNAcentral